RNAcentral lists this ribosomal RNA (500 nucleotides) under uncultured bacterium. RNAcentral describes it as "partial 16S ribosomal RNA". It matches the Rfam family "Bacterial small subunit ribosomal RNA", at positions 30 to 523 of the family's 1533-position model. The record is from RNAcentral.
AUUGAACGCUGGCGGAAUGCUUUACACAUGCAAGUCGAACGGCAGCACGGACUUCGGUCUGGUGGCGAGUGGCGAACGGGUGAGUAAUGUAUCGGAACGUGCCCAGUCGUGGGGGAUAACGUAGUGAAAAUUACGCUAAUACCGCAUACGAUCUAUGGAUGAAAGCGGGGGAUCGCAAGACCUCGCGCGAUUGGAGCGGCCGAUAUCAGAUUAGGUAGUUGGUGGGGUAAAGGCCCACCAAGCCAACGAUCUGUAGCUGGUCUGAGAGGACGACCAGGCACACUGGAACUGAGACACGGUCUAGACUCCUACGGGAGGCAGCAGUGGGGAAUUUUGGACAAUGGGCGAAAGCCUGAUCCAGCCAUUCCGCGUGCAGGAUGAAGGCCCUCGGGUUGUAAACUGCUUUUGUACAGAACGAAAAGGUUUCUACUAAUACUAGGAGCUCAUGACGGUACUGUAAGAAUAAGCACCGGCUAACUACGUGCCAGCCGCCGCAGUAA